AGAGUUUGAUCAUGGCUCAGGAUGAACGCUAGCGGCAGGCCUAAUACAUGCAAGUCGAGGGGCAGCACGGGUAGCAAUACCUGGUGGCGACCGGCGCACGGGUGCGUAACACGUAUACAAUCUGCCUUUAACAGGGGGAUAGCCCGGAGAAAUCCGGAUUAAUACCCCAUAAUAAAUGAAACGGCAUCGUUUUAUUUUGAAAGCUCCGGCGGUUAGAGAUGAGUAUGCGUCUGAUUAGUUAGUUGGUGAGGUAACGGCUCACCAAGACCACGAUCAGUAGGGGAUCUGAGAGGACUACCCCCCACACGGAUACUGAGACACGGAUCCGACUCCUACGGGAGGCAGCAGUAAGGAAUAUUGGACAAUGCCCGCAAGGGUGGUCCAGCCAUGCCGCGUGCAGGAAGACGGCCCUAUGGGUUGUAAACUGCUUUUACACCGGAGAAAACCCCACUACGUGUAGUGGGCUGAUAGUAUGGUGAGAAUAAGCAUCGGCUAACUUCGUGCCAGCAGCCGCGGUAAUACGAAGGAUGCAAGCGUUAUCCGGAUUCAUUGGGUUUAAAGGGAGCGUAGGUGGCCUUAUAAGUCAGUGGUGAAAUCUCUGGGCUUAACCCAGAAAUUGCCAUUGAUACUGUAGGGCUUGAGUAUAGUUGCCGUUGGCGGAAUAUGACAUGUAGUGGUGAAAUACAUAGAGAUGUCAUAGAACACCGAUUGCGAAGGCAGCUGACGAAACUAUAACUGACACUGAGGCUCGAAAGUGCGGGGAUCAAACAGGAUUAGAUACCCCGGUAGUCC
RNAcentral lists this ribosomal RNA (792 nucleotides) under uncultured Bacteroidota bacterium. RNAcentral's name for it is "bacterial SSU rRNA". It matches the Rfam family "Bacterial small subunit ribosomal RNA", at positions 8 to 796 of the family's 1533-position model. Lineage: Bacteria; Pseudomonadati; Bacteroidota. The record is from RNAcentral.